GAUCUUCUCCGUAGAAGGAGAGCUGGAGCCUGAGCUCCCGCAAGUGUUCACGGGAGAUGGCGCUGUACAUGCGCAGAAACUCCGGGACCAGCAUGCACCACAUCAGUCCCACUAAAUGAGCUUUUCCUCUCUCCUUGUCUCUCUCUCUCUCUCUCUCUCUCUCUCUCUCUCUCUCUCUCUCUCUCUCUCUCUCUGUCUUUUUUCUCUCUUUUUUUUCUCUUUUUUUUUUUUUUUCUUGCAAGAGACAGCAAUGCCUGCAUAGUGCCAAGAAGAGUCUGGGUUACACAGAGCAAAGAAGUCAACCCACCUAACUGGAUUCCUGCUGCAAGGAAUUUGAGGACACCCUCCUCCUUCAUUUGCAGAACAUCAAGGGCUCCAGGGAGGGUGACGUUUCCCCUUCAACUUACAAUGGGAAUCCAGAACAAUGCCAUAUGGACUCCUUUCUGGUGAACGUUGAGUGAGCUUGGCUUCAAAGCAAGCAUGAUGAACAAGAAACAUGGCUAGUGGACAAGAGGAGGAAACAAGGACCAUAUGAGAGAGGUAACUGAAAACAAUUGAUAUUUCUCUAGGGCAAGACUCUGAAGGAGGACACACUGUAUAAAGAAUAGUGCCCAAAGAGGCCAUGUUUUUUUUUAAUAUUUUAUUUACUUUUGACAGAGAGAGAAAGACAGAGCAUGAGUGGGGGGAGAAGCAGAGAGAGAGGGAGACACAGAUUCUGAAGCAGGCUCCAGGCUCUGAGCUGUCAGCAUAGAGCCUGACGCAGGGCUUGAACUCACAGACCUUGAAAUCAUGACCUGAGCUGAAGUCAGAUGCUCAACUGACUGAGCCACCCAGGCACCCCGCCAUGGUUUGUUUUAAUAGCCACUGAAGAUGGAGGAACUCCAACCAAACAAGUAAGGGCACAGAGUCAAAGUUCAAAGAAGCAGGAAUGACUUGAAAUCAGGUGUAUAACAAAAUCCUGGUAUCAGGCUAUGGAGUCGUUCAGAAGAUAUGAAACAGGUAAUAACUAUAUCAGGAAUAAGACAUAACAUAUACUAUGGCAAUACCACAAGUAAAUCAGAGUGUUAUUUUCUUUUUAGGUAAGUAGUUGAAAAAAGUUACCCCCUGGAGAAAAUUAGUAGUUACCAGUACAUGAAGGCACAAUUGAGCAAACUGAUGAGGUCCAUAUGGAGAGUAUAGAUGGGUAAACAUCCAGAUACAAUAAAUUCAUUUUAGGCAUAUCGGAUCCUGAUUGA
This 1235-nucleotide long non-coding RNA is filed under the name Felis catus (domestic cat). RNAcentral's name for it is "lncRNA (ENSFCAG00000045424.2)". Lineage: Eukaryota; Metazoa; Chordata; Mammalia; Carnivora; Felidae. The record is from RNAcentral.